GAUGAACGCUGGCGGCGUGCUUAACACAUGCAAGUCGAACGGAAAGGCCCAAGCUUGCCUGGGUACUCGAGUGGCGAACGGGUGAGUAACACGUGGGUGAUCUGCCCUGCACUUCGGGAUAAGCCUGGGAAACUGGGUCUAAUACCGGAUAGGACGAUGGUUUGGAUGCCAUUGUGGAAAGUUUUUUCGGUGUGGGAUGAGCUCGCGGCCUAUCAGCUUGUUGGUGGGGUAAUGGCCUACCAAGGCGUCGACGGGUAGCCGGCCUGAGAGGGUGUACGGCCACAUUGGGACUGAGAUACGGCCCAGACUCCUACGGGAGGCAGCAGUGGGGAAUAUUGCACAAUGGGCGCAGGCCUGAUGCAGCGACGCCGCGUGGGGGAUGACGGCCUUCGGGUUGUAAACUCCUUUCGCUAGGGACGAAGCGUUUUUGUGACGGUACCUGGAGAAGAAGCACCGGCUAACUACGUG
This 468-nucleotide ribosomal RNA is filed under the name uncultured bacterium. Its description in RNAcentral is "partial 16S ribosomal RNA". It matches the Rfam family "Bacterial small subunit ribosomal RNA", at positions 28 to 507 of the family's 1533-position model. The record is from RNAcentral.